RNAcentral lists this microRNA precursor (93 nucleotides) under Pelobates cultripes (western spadefoot toad). Lineage: Eukaryota; Metazoa; Chordata; Amphibia; Anura; Pelobatidae. The record is from RNAcentral.
GUGUAUGUGUCAGUAUGUCUGUGUGUGUAUGUCAGUAUGUCUGUCAUAGACACACACAGACAUACUGACAUACAUACACAGACAUACUGACAG